CAAGCUACUCCUUCACGAGAUCCACUCCCCCGCCACCCGCCACGAGCUACUCCUCCACGAGAUCCACUCCCCCCACCACCUGCCACGAGCUCCUCCUCCAUGAGAAGAUAGAUCCAGUCCCUGGCCACGAAUCCAAUCCACGAGAUCCAGUCCGCCACUCUAGUACUGUGAUGGCGAGGUAAUUGUUGGCAACUUCUAUCAUGUUGUUACCUUUGCAGCCAUUUUCUUGAUCUGCAGACCUGCAGAGGUGAAAGAGUUGGUUUGUUCCUAACAAUUCUAAUGAUUGAUAUAAAGCAAAUCUGAGCUUUCAGUGGUCUUCUCAUGAAUCUUUUUUCCAGGGUUAAUUUUAUAAAUCCCCCUAUGGGGUUUUUUGCAGCCAUUUUCUUGAUCUGCAGACCUGCAGAGGUGAAAGAGUUGGUUUGUUCCUAACAAUUCCAAUGAUUGAUAUAAAGCAAAUCUGAGCUUUUAGUGGUCUUCUCAUGAAUCUUUUUUCCAGGGUUAAUUUUAUAAAUCCCCCUAUAGGGUUUUUGGCAGCCAUUUUCUUGAUCUGCAGACCUGUAGAGGUGAAAGAGUUGGUUUGUUCCUAACAAUUCUAAUGAUUGAUAUAAAGCAAAUCUUUUUUUUCUUCAGGGGCAUUUUUGACAUUUUAAUGCUGAUGACUAUAGUAGAUUUACACUAGUUUUUUUUCCCAGUACAAAACUGAAGUAUUUAUUUGGGUAGAGAACAAAUUGUCUUUUUUGCAUUGAUAAUCUAUUUUCAAGACACAAAUUUCUAGGUGAUAUAAUGGCAAGAAAGAGUUUUUAUGUUGUAAAGAGAGGUCGACGUUGUGGCAUUUUUAAUAAUUAGGAGGAAUGCAAAUCUCAAGUUGAUAGAUUCCCAAAAGCCUCCUACAAAGGGUAUGCAACGUAUGAAAAGGCUUUGAGUGAAUGAGAGAAGCAUUUAAGCGAGCGUGAUUCAGCAUCCAGCUCAAGCCAUGUGCAGCCAUAUGUUUGUGUUCAAGAACAAAUGUUUCGAGAGGGGCAUAAUCUUCUUGAGGACAAGGGGAAACAUGGGGAAACUGCUAUUUCCUCCAUCUAUGUUUUUCUAUUAGGUUCAGUGUUUACAAUUUUAAUAUUUCUAGUAUGUAUUGUUGCAGUGUUUGUUGGUUUCUAUUGGGGGAAAUAUGUGAUGUGAUUCGUGUAUGAUUCUUCAAUGUACCUUAGUUUUGUACUUAGUUUUGUA
This is a long non-coding RNA of Asparagus officinalis (garden asparagus), 1221 nucleotides long. RefSeq lists it as uncharacterized. The transcript has 2 exons. NCBI's taxonomy places the organism in Eukaryota, Viridiplantae, Streptophyta, Magnoliopsida, Asparagales, Asparagaceae. The record is from RefSeq and is a predicted model, not a curated record.